AUUUAUUUAUUUAUUGUUUUUAGGUAUUUUUUGAUGAAUAGGAAGUUUUAAAUAAUAUAUACAGUGUGUAUGUAUAUAUAUAUAUAUAUAUAUAUAUAUAUAUAUAUACUCAUAUAUUAUCCAUCUAUCCAUCUAUCUAUCUAUCUAUCUAUCUAUCAUAAUGUAUUUGUGUGUGUGUCUGUCGUAUUUUCUAUAUCAGUAAUAUUUUAAUAUUUGUAUUGUGAAUUUGUGUGGUAGGUAGUUUACCAUGCAAUGGUCAUGAGUUGCAUCAAACAAGUAUCCCACUGCAUCUCCAGACAGGACUGGAAACAAUGUCUGGCUACUCUGGACACAUUUGGCUAAGAUAUCAGCUCAUAUAAUCUCCUAAGUAUCGACCUCUGCACCUGUCCGGCUACAACACUCGAUACCACUCCGUUGUUUCCUUCCCAGUUGUCCUCUAUGGUUCCACUUCUCUCAGCACCUCCAUUAGAUGCCCACAUAUGUAUGCUGAGAUUUAGUAAGGGCAGCAGGGCGAGGCAUUCCUCCCCUCGUAAAGAUCUGCUCUGGAUGCAGCCAGUGCCUUUAACAUCAGAGAGGCAGUGAAGGGAUGGAGGGGGAGAAAUGAGAGCGAAACAGCUGUUCCCAGCAUGUCAAUAGAUUAAAUAGCAGUUCCAGCCCUCCUGGGGUCCGUGGACUCUCCCACCAUGAUUUUACAGUUUCCACUCUAUAGGGUUUUUGUGGUGGACAGCCUGUGUGGGACGAAGUGCACAGACCUUCCAGUACACAAGCAUCAGAAGGGACAUCCUUCACACUUUUAUAGGGUCAGGCUUGACGAAUGCAUCAUAAAUGGAGUAAUCCUCUUCUCAGGAAAAAAUGCUGUUUUACUCCAAGUGUCAUGGAGCGAGUUUCUCACAGUGCGUUCAUUCAUUAUGAGCUGUGAACCCUGAGGAGGUGAGCACAUUUCACAUAAUGAUCUUUGGCGCUCUGUGGUUUUUCUCAUCCAGCUUGGAUUCUCAUUACAGUUUUAACAGCCUCCCAGACCUUCAUUUGUUACAACAGCAACAGGUGGAUUUCUCCUCUCUUUUCAUUUACAGGCAACAAAAUGCUUUGAAAUCUUACACUGAAAUGCAGGAUGAUUUCAUUUUUGGUUGUUAAAACAAAUGUUUAGUUUAUAAAGGAAACGGAUUACAAUUAAGAGUAAAUCUUUCUGAACUCUUAACACUGAGUGACCGCUAUAAACAGUAUUUUUCUAAAAUGCUACUGCUGUUUAAGCAUGUUAGGCAGAAUGACAAACAUUUUUUGGCAGACGUCGGGCAGCAGUGUAUCAAGUAUUCCUGGCACGAACUGUGCAAGGAAAACAGUGUAGUCAAAAGCUUUUGAAACUGAUUUAUACCUACUUGCCUCUUGCUUGAAAUGGACUAAUGUUUCCUGGGCAAAGUAUUCCCUAAACUUCUUUAAACUCACUCAGAUAUAUUUGCCUUGUCCUUGCAGGCCCUAAAUUAUUAAUUAGACUUUGCUUGAUUCAAAAAGAUGUUUCAAACUCAAACUUUUUUUUUUUUUUUUUUUUGGCUUUAUAUUGGCAAAUAAGUGUGUAUUUGUUAAAGUUACUAAUAGUUUUUAAAAACUUUAAUGAAAAACGCUAAAAUUAUUAUACUAUUUAUAAUUCUUAAAAUAUAAUUAAGCAUCUGUGUUUUUUCUUCUCUUUAUUUAGUUUGUCAUGAAAGUGAAGUGUAAAGCGCAAGCUUCCCAAAGUAAAAUCAGAAAAUAUCAGGACAUUUUUAACUGAUUUCGGGGCACGAGGAAGUCUACGGUAUUUUUUAUAGGCUAAAUGUAAAUGUUUCUAUCGAUGAUCGAAAUAAUUAAUCAGCUAGAAAUGUUAUACAAUGUCUUUUUCCAGUAAUCAUGAGCAACUGGGGAAAAGUAAUGGAAAUUCAUUGGUCAGAGGGUGUGUGACCAGGGAAAGUGCUGCGUUCUACACUCCUCUUCACUUUUAAGGAAGUAUAAAUAAUAAUCUGCCUGUUUAUAAACCUAGUUUAUAGCGAGCUGAAGCGCCGCUUGUUUUGUUCAUAAAUGAUCAAAUGCGUCAGCAGCGUGACUGUAAAAACAUCUACUACAGCGGAUUUAAACUUUAUUUUAUUGAACCUCCUUAAAUUGAUAAAGAUUUACAAAAAUAGAAAGGCAAUGUAAAUACCCAAUAGAUUAGUAAAAUAAUAAUAUAAUAUAAUUUGGUAGUUUAAUGAAGUUAUAUUCCGUUUAUUAUAUCUGAUUUAAAAUUAUUUCAUCACAAAAACUGAUGGAUCGCGAGACUGAACAAGUUUGAAAAACUAUAUAUGUAUGUGUAUAUGUGUGUGAUUUUUUUUCUUUUUUUUAAUUGAAAGCAUUGUUCAGAAUUAAGAAAUUUGGGAAAAUAUCGUUUUGACCUUUUUAAUUUGCAUUAGUUGACGGCUGUGCAGAUGAAGAUUUAUCGUAACUAAUAAACUUCUGACUCAGAUUAAUGCGAUUAAAUAU
Molecule: long non-coding RNA, 2487 nt
Organism: Cyprinus carpio (common carp)
Lineage: Eukaryota; Metazoa; Chordata; Actinopteri; Cypriniformes; Cyprinidae
Source: Ensembl